AGAGUUUGAUCCUGGCUCAGAACGAACGCUGGCGGCGUGCCUAACACAUGCAAGUCGAACGGAGUCAUUUUGAAGUAGCAAUACGGAUGGAUGACUUAGUGGCGCACGGGUGAGUAACACGUAGGUAACCUGCCCUUAAGAGGGGGAAAACCCGCCGAAAGGCGAGCUAAUACCGCAUAAGACCACGAACUGAGAUGUUUGUGGUAAAAGUCCCGAUGCAAAUCGGGACACUUAAGGAUGGGCCUGCGGCCUAUCAGGUAGUUGGUGAGGUAACGGCUCACCAAGCCUAAGACGGGUAGCCGGUCUGAGAGGACGGACGGCCACACUGGAACUGAGACACGGUCCAGACUCCUACGGGAGGCAGCAGUGGGGAAUUUUGCACAAUGGGCGAAAGCCUGAUGCAGCGACGCCGCGUGGAGGAUGAAGGCCUUCGGGUUGUAAACUCCUUUUGUAGGGGAAAAUAAUGAUGGUACCCUGCGAAUAAGCCACGGCUAACUACGUGCCAGCAGCCGCGGUAAUACGUAGGUGGCAAGCGUUGUCCGGAUUUACUGGGCGUAAAGGGCGUGCAGGCGGUUUGUUAAGUCUAGGGUGAAAGCUCCCGGCUCAACUGGGAGAGGUCCUUGGAUACUGGCGAACUUGAGGGAUGCAGAGGAAAGUGGAAUUCCCGGUGUAGUGGUGAUAUGCGUAGAUAUCGGGAGGAACACCAGUGGCGAAGGCGGCUUUCUGGGCAUUUCCUGACGCUGAGACGCGAAAGCGUGGGGAGCGAACCGGAUUAGAUACCCUGGUAGUCC
RNAcentral lists this ribosomal RNA (791 nucleotides) under uncultured bacterium. RNAcentral's name for it is "bacterial SSU rRNA". It matches the Rfam family "Bacterial small subunit ribosomal RNA", at positions 8 to 796 of the family's 1533-position model. The record is from RNAcentral.